Molecule: small RNA, 1036 nt
Filed under: Malus domestica (apple)
Lineage: Eukaryota; Viridiplantae; Streptophyta; Magnoliopsida; Rosales; Rosaceae
Description: sRNA MD03G0099800
Source: RNAcentral
AACCAUUCAUAAAAGGGUAUGUAUUUUGAAAUCUCAUUGCAAUUUCCUAAAUUUUGUUUAACAUUUAGACUGAGUUAAAUGAAAUUGGUGUCAAGAUUCUGCAACCCGUGUUUCUCAAUUUGGGGUUGAGAGAACUUUUUCAUGCUUGCUUAUUUGAUGAUAAGUAUAGUAAUUUAGUUGUAUACAUCUCUCUUAAACAUCAUAAUUCUACUUUUUGAAAUUAUUGCUUUCGCUGUGUUGAUUAUGAUGUUUGCAGAUUGAGAUAAUUUUGCCUUAUUAAUCCUCCUUGUAUUUAUUAGUGUAAUGAAUAAACUUGUAUUUUGAUAUGCUAAUUGUGUUAUUAAGAACCAUUGAACAAAGAUCAUGUUAUCUGCAUAUUGAGAUUAUCAUUCUGGCCCUUCCUAUUGACGUUAACUCGUUCAUUGUUCUAUUGUAUCUCUUGUUUUAUUGAAAUAUGAAUGAGAAUUGUCUUUUUUUGGGAAUUGGUGCCGAUGGGAUUCUUGCUGAUAACUUUGUUGAUGAUUUUGGUUCGGCGUGUCUGUAACAAUGGCGAGGUCCAUGGGAAUUUGGAAUGAUGACAAUCCGCAUGGAUGGUUCUCAAGCAUUAAUGGAUAGUUUGUUUCUUUGAUGUGGAGUUGAGGAAUCUCAGUCGGGUUGACGAAUAUGGGUCCAGUGAUGCAUUCGGGUGAAUGAAGACACUGCAAAACCCACCCCAAAGAAAAAGGGACGAAAGCCAUCAAUUCGACUUGUUACUGUAAAUGUUGGCAAAAAAGCAGCAGAGGAUGCAAUGCAAGAAGAAGGUUGACUGACAUAGAGAAAAUUUUAGUUGCAACAAGAUGAAUUUUUCGUUAUGAAAGAGAAGCGCUGCAAUGAGACGCUGAUGGAGAAAGAGAGCCAUUGUAGUGUGACAUUGGUUGAGAAAGAGAAUUACUGUGUUUUAGUUGAUAAACAAUUUCCCAAACCAUGUUAAGAUUCGGAGACGCAUAUAAUUGAUAGAAAGUCGAAUUAUACUAUACAAAACGGGGCUGUAUUUGAU